Molecule: ribosomal RNA, 251 nt
Filed under: uncultured bacterium
Lineage: Bacteria
Description: partial 16S ribosomal RNA
Rfam family: Bacterial small subunit ribosomal RNA
Source: RNAcentral
UACGUAGGGGGCAAGCGUUGUCCGGAUUUAUUGGGCGUAAAGAGCGUGUAGGCGGCUUGACAGGUCUGCUGUGAAACUCGAGGCUCAACCUCGAGAUGUCGGCGGAAACCGUCUGGCUAGAGUCCGGAAGAGGAGAGUGGAAUUCCUGGUGUAGCGGUGAAAUGCGCAGAUAUCAGGAAGAACACCUAUGGCGAAGGCAGCUCUCGUGGGACGGUACUGACGCUGAGACGCGAAAGCGUGGGGAGGCGAAC